CAGGGAAGAAAAACUUGGUUUCGUUCUUACGAGCGAGCGAGCGUGGCAAGUGAGCGAGCGAGUUGAGUGCGCGCACGUGUAUUUUUUAGCAUUUCGACGUCGCGGAGUGGAUUUCGCGUAAUUUUGACGAAGGAUUUUCGAGCUAUUUUAGAGUGAUGUGGCUGCUAUCCCGUCUACCGUUCAUUUCCUUAGAUUUGCGUUAUAGUGACACUAUACUCGGUUCGGGUAGCGCCCCGCGAGUACCACUCCAGAGGUUGGGCUAUGAGAUAUUAUUAUGGCAUGGGCCAGACAGUAGCCUGCGUGGUAGCGGACUACUAUAGGUGGGUGCUGGACACAAGACGGCACAGGCUAGACCUCACUGUUGAGUCGGUCACUAUGAUUGGGCAUUAUUGCAAUAUUUUAUUUAGUCUCUAAUUGAUUCAUGCAAAACAUAAUUUACAAUUCCAGCUAUAUUGUAGAGGCAUGAGAGUAGCAGUUAUUUUCAGCAAUUAUUGAUCAUAUGAGUACUUGUUCCUUCAUAUUGCUCGGUAUUUACUAUUUCUGCCUCUUAUGGACCUAGUGGUGUAGAUCGUCAGCGUUGACGAUCGUACCCACUGGAAACUAUUUAUUAUAGUUCCCAUACCCUCUUAUUUAAUAUUUUAUUUUAGAGCCUUCAGCACCAGCGACUGAUCAAGAUAAAGGAAUCGCAAAUAGUUAGCAUCUCCUACCAUUAUUGUGUGUGUAGUUGGACCACCUAUUAGUGAGCAGUCUGUACAAUGUUUUGAUACUUGGAGUGGUCAGAAAUGUUGUACCAUUUUGAAGA
Molecule: long non-coding RNA, 802 nt
Organism: Ananas comosus (pineapple)
Lineage: Eukaryota; Viridiplantae; Streptophyta; Magnoliopsida; Poales; Bromeliaceae
Exons: 3
Source: RefSeq, a predicted model, not a curated record